UAGAGUGUCAAGCAGGCAGAUCAAUUUUCUGCCACCGAAUACAUUAGCAUGGGAUAAUGGAAUAGGACCCUGUCCUCCUAUUUUCAGUUGGUUUGCCGCGAGGACCAGGGUUAAUGAUUAAUAGGGAUAGUUGGGGGCAUUAAUAUUUAAUUGUCAGAGGUGAAAUUCUUGGAUUUAUGAAAGAUUAACUUCUGCGAAAGCAUCUGCCAAGGAUGUUUUCAUUAAUCAAGAACGAAAGUUAGGGGAUCGAAGACGAUCAGAUACCGUCGUAGUCUUAACCAUAAACGAUGCCGACCAGCGAUUAGGAGACGUUGAAUACAAAACACCACCAUGCGCAUUGCGGUCGUCUUUGGUGUCGCUCACAAGGCGGCACCGGGGCGGCUUAGCUCGCAUGGCACCGGU
This 402-nucleotide ribosomal RNA is filed under the name Acanthamoeba sp. AVL-36. RNAcentral describes it as "SSU rRNA". The stretch from base 1 to 358 matches the Rfam family "Eukaryotic small subunit ribosomal RNA", at positions 767 to 1116 of the family's 1831-position model. The record is from RNAcentral. Lineage: Eukaryota; Discosea; Longamoebia; Acanthamoebidae.